Molecule: long non-coding RNA, 580 nt
Organism: Corticium candelabrum
Lineage: Eukaryota; Metazoa; Porifera; Homoscleromorpha; Homosclerophorida; Plakinidae
Exons: 3
Source: RefSeq, a predicted model, not a curated record
GCAUGGUGGUCUGGUCGUCCAUUGUUCUUCGAAAGCAUUUCGCCAAUACUUUGGAGGCAGAAACAACAUAUUCAAACGUUUCUUACGUGUGUUUCGUGUCGAAAGCAUCAUUUGAGGCCGAUACAAUGGAGAACGAGUGAGAUUUCCGUUUGUAAAGACAGCGAUGACACGCCCGCGCUCUGUGUUGCAAGUUUGGCCGCUUGCCGUUGGGGAUUAUUUGAGUUAUGCCCAUAGUAACCGCUUGUUCUCUGUUGCUAUGGCUAUUUACCCGUAUGUUUUGCUCUCCAGAAGGCAUUGCAACGCACAAGAAAGCAGAUCUUUUCUAUUGUGAAGACAGCGGCGACUCAAUUAGUGUAGCGUAAACAGGAACUUGACAUGAACGCAUCGAAACAAUCAUCAAUAGCUAUGAGAAUUGUAUCAUUCGAAAGCGCAAUUAACAGGCUUUUCAACGGUGUGUGUUUUGUAAUUUUUGCUUCUAUAUUGUGGCUACAGUUCUAAUAAUUGGCAACUGGAAUGUAGAUGACGUGCGCGCGCUACGUUAAAUUAACAUUCUUGGUGAUAUGUGAUAGUGAUAUAAUAG